AUUGACAUAUUGAAAGAGGGUAUACGUUAGAAAAUAUAUGCUAAUUACCUGUAAUUAUGCCGAACGACGAAACACCGUUUACACUUGUUAUCUCGCCCAAGACGGCAAAGAGACCACCAGUAAGGAAGCAAAAUCGCGGAUUGGGUUGGAUACCUCCAAUUAAGGCAUAGCCAGUGAUAUUGAUAAGACUCGACUGGUCUUAUUGGUGAGUGCAAAUGCUUUGAAGUGACUAUCUACAGAUUUCUUUCGAACUAUCCACGAAGAUAUUAAUGAAUUAGGAAAGGGAAAUGGAAAGAUAGGAAUUUAAAUAAAAACCAAUGCUACGUUUCUCUCGAAUGGAACCCUUGAGUAAGGCUCUCGAGUGUAGGUCCUUGAGUGGGGCCUUGGGCGGGGCCUUGGGCGGGUACUUUUUUUCGGAAGGGAAGAAUCGAACUCUUUUCGUUCUAACGUACGCGUGCGUUUUUUGACAUUUUUCGAAAUUAUUCAGAUUUCUUUCUCGUCGAGGGAUCGAUUUAUCAUCGAUGGAUAGAGUUCUCGUUAAUGAAUUGAUUAAUUGUCGAUGAAGCAUUCAUUUCAUCAGACGAUCCAAUAACGAAAAUUUGGUAUAUCGUCGAAGAUCCGAUGUAACAUGAAAGGGCUCACGUUCAUUAGGUUCAUCAUCAUGGUUUUGGGAUUGGUUUUAUCCACGUAAGUAUUUCUUUUUUCCACACUAGAUGUGAAGAGAUAUCCAUUUUUACGUAUGGUUACGAUAAAAAGAAUACUCGUACAUUUGUUUGUGUGCACAUGCGUGAGUGUUUACGGGCGUGAAAUUAAGUCCUACCGAGGACUGCCUCUUGUUAGUUAAGAAGUCUGAAGCUCUCGAAGCAAAAAGAUAUUUAGGUAUGUGGAUCUUAGAGUAGAGUCACCGUUAAACCAUGGAUCUCCAUAUGCAGCAACCUUUACGUGGUGAGAUCUGGGUCGAUAUUACUUGCAAUAUAUAAAAUUUUAAACUUAGAUGAUAUAUAAGUAUAUGUUAUACUGCAAGUACUACCGAGCGAAUGGCUGCAUGUCUUUACGCGUUUCUAAAAUGUUUUCUUUUCAUAUCUUACUUAGACAUUAAAGUAUUCACAUUUUACAUUGUUAAUCAUACCUUUGUAUUAUAUGUAUAAUUCGAUACUAUUAUUUAAUUCAAUGAUUAUUACUCUAUAAUUUUAUUAUAUAUUAGUUACUUAUAAACACUUACAAAUGUAAUGUUUCAAUUCGA
Molecule: long non-coding RNA, 1243 nt
Organism: Vespa mandarinia (Asian giant hornet)
Lineage: Eukaryota; Metazoa; Arthropoda; Insecta; Hymenoptera; Vespidae
Source: RefSeq, a predicted model, not a curated record